This 253-nucleotide ribosomal RNA is filed under the name uncultured bacterium. RNAcentral's name for it is "partial 16S ribosomal RNA". It matches the Rfam family "Bacterial small subunit ribosomal RNA", at positions 524 to 776 of the family's 1533-position model. The record is from RNAcentral.
UACGGAGGGUGCAAGCGUUAAUCGGAAUUACUGGGCGUAAAGCGUGCGCAGGCGGUGAUGUAAGACAGAUGUGAAAUCCCCGGGCUCAACCUGGGAACUGCAUUUGUGACUGCAUCGCUAGAGUACGGCAGAGGGGGAUGGAAUUCCGCGUGUAGCAGUGAAAUGCGUAGAUAUGCGGAGGAACACCGAUGGCGAAGGCAAUCCCCUGGGCCUGUACUGACGCUCAUGCACGAAAGCGUGGGGAGCAAACAGG